Lycium ferocissimum is the source of this 2780-nucleotide RNA transcript. It is a transcript of the gene named putative disease resistance RPP13-like protein 1, with no coding region annotated. NCBI's taxonomy places the organism in Eukaryota, Viridiplantae, Streptophyta, Magnoliopsida, Solanales, Solanaceae. The record is from RefSeq and is a predicted model, not a curated record. The transcript is spliced from 3 exons.
UCCCUUUUUUAGUCGUAAUAGGUCUCAAGAAAUCACAUCUGUUAUUUGUUUUGUCCCCUUUUUAAUCUUGUCUCAAUAAAUCUCAUCUGUAUCAAACUGUAGACACAGAUGUUUUUUUCACGCUGCGUUUUUCUUCUUCUCUGCCAAAAAAAUCACUCGUCCAACUAUCAAUCGGCGACCAGUUUAUUUUCCGCUUGAACUGGGAUUGGAUUCUGCUUCGUUCAAAGCCAAGCGAAAAGACAAGGAAGAGAUGGGUGCACAAAUCAGCCAACUACCACUCACUCAUUCGGGGUGUCCUAGUGCGCUACCAAUAGAAAGGUUUGAUCAUAACAAGAUAGCUGUGGAGCAAGACAAAGGUGAAAGUUCCAAAAUGAAGGAUCAAAAUGUUGAAAAACCUCGCAAAUUGAAGGGCAUUUUAAAAUGCAUAUUAUACUGCUGCCUCUUUCCUGAUAAUUAUGAAUUUGAGAAGGAAACAGUUGUCCAGCUAUGGGUGGCUGAAGGAUUUUUUGAACCUGAAGAAGGGGAUAGAAUGGAAGUUUUGGCCAAUUCCUACUUUGAUUACUUGAUAGAAAAGAAAUAUGUGUCACCUUGUAAAUUUGAUUACGUCAGGAGGUCAAUGAAGUACAAGAUCACAGACGCGAUCCAUCAUUCUCUACGAGAUGCAUCACUACUAGGUUAUCGAAAAGUAGAGGAAGCUCAGUUGUGCAGUGUCUCGAAACAUAUCCAACACUUAUUUUUGAUCUCAAAGAACAUUAACCCAUCAAGUUUCAAGAUUCUCAGCAGGUUUGAGGAUUUGCACACAUUGUUUUGUCAACUUGGCUCUUCUACUGGACGUGUACCUCAAGAUCUUUUUUAUAGUGUGAAGCAGUUGAGAAGUUUGGGUUUGCGUCGAAGUAGCAUAUCUGAAAUACCAAGUUGUAUAGGGAGUCUAAAAUAUUUGCGUUACUUAGAUGUCUCAGAAACACCAAUCAAGUAUUUGCCAGAAUCUAUAGCUCUUCUUGAUAAUUUACAAACACUAAAACUUGAUGGUUGUUUGAAUCUUGUCAGGUUACCUUUUGAUGUAAGCAAAUUAGCUAAACUCCGUCAUUUGGAGUUUGACAUACUUGGCCGAUUAAGUUCAAUGCCGGUUAAGAUGGGGAAUCUAACCAGUCUACAAACAUUGAGAGCAUUCCUGGUGGGAAGGGAGGAUGGUUGUCGUAUUGAGGAGUUAAAGUAUCUAAAUAACAUCAGUGGUUCAUUUUGCCUUUCAGAGCUUCAAAAUGUUUUGACCUCUCAUGAGGCAAAGGAAGCGGCCAUGACCAAUAAGAAAUACAUUCGCAAACUAGAGCUAAGAUGGCGGCAUCGUGGCAUUGGUAGGCCAAAGGCUGAAGAGGAGAUACUAGAUUGCCUUCAACCUGAUGCAUGCCUUCAGGAAUUGCGCAUCCUUCGCUACAGUGGUUCAGUGUUUCCCGAUUGGAUUAACAGUUCAUAUCUCUGCAACAUUGUUAAUAUUACAUUGUAUGACUGCAGAAAUUGUCUUGUUCUACCAUCGCUUGGGGGAUUGCCAUUGUUAAAGUCACUUCACAUAAUUGAGGUUCCGUUGGUGGGGGUUAUUGAUAGUCACUUCCAUAGAAGUUAUGGUAAUGAAGUGUAUCACGCAUUCCCAAAGCUAGAGGAGCUGAUAAUUGAUGGCUUGCAUGGUCUAAAAGAGUGGUCUGGAGUGGUAAAUGGUGACUUCCCCUGCCUUUCUGUCUUAGUAAUAAGAAGGUGCCCCAAUCUUGUUUCCCUUCGAUGGCUUUCAUAUUUGUGUUCUCUAAAAAAUUUGGAAAUAACUGACUCUGGGGAAAUUUCAUCCCUGGGCAACAAAGAGCUUUCAUCUUCGCUUGAAUUUCUGAGUAUAAGUAAUUGCCCAAAACUAAAAGAAAAAUACUGCAAGCCUAAAGUUAGUGGUUGGUUUUCCUUAUCAAGAACAGCUAGUGGUUGGUUUCAGAUAGCUCAUGUGCCUUCUAUAAUAAUUGAUCUUAUGUGGUAUCGAUGAAGGAUGAAGAAGACUAAGGGUCAACAUAAAGCUAGAUUGGUAUGUGUGCUUCUUACUCUGUUAGUUCAAAUGCAGCUUAUGAAGACAACAAAGGCAAACACACUCAUGUCGUAGCAGUUCUCCAUUCAGUGACAUGGAUGGAUAGAGUUCCAAGUUGGAGGCUAAACAUUCAUUUUGCAUAUCUUGUUUGUUUUAACUUCUUAACAUUUAUGCACAUCUGAGAUUCAUUUUGAUUAGCAGAGGGUCUCUGUCAACUUCAAGGUGCUAAAUUUACUACGACUAUUUGUGAUCUAGUGGGGAAACCGAACUGAUUGAGCGAACGUGGUUAGAUUUUGAAAAAGUGACAAUGGAUUUUACUUUUUCUUGCUUGGAAGAGACAACUUUUGGGAUGAAUACUAGCACCAAGUCAGGUCAUUUAGCCAUUUGAGAGAAGAAUAGCAUGUGUUUAGUAAAGUGGCCGUGCAUAUGGCCCAAUGCCUUUUGUGAACUGCGUGCAUUUGUCGAUUGAAGCAUCUAAUUAUUUGUUUUUUAAGUCUUGGAGUUAAAGGAUUAUGUGUCUUUGUGAUUGUUGUCUCGUUUUCAGGAGCUUCUGUUCCAUUAAUAAAUUGGUCCACGUGCUUGUUGUCCCUGUAGAUCACAGAUUCCAUAAUUGCACCACAUGCCCACAGCUAACGAGGAAACUUGCUGUGCACAUUUCUGGAACUGAUUGUUUUCUAAGAUACCGCAGAUGAAGUUUAACACGCGUAAAGAUAGUUUUUGUUUU